AGGCUUUCCUGAAGACUUUUCCAAGGUGGUAUUUCUGUAUAACUGAUAUGCCAUGACUCAGGAGGAAGAAAUUACUUUAUUUUCAGGCUUGCAUUGAUAUCUUAUUUUACAUUUAACUUCUGGCUCCUCCAACAGAAUAUAAGCUUCGUGGAUUUUUGUCUGUUUUGUUCACUGAAGUAAACUGGGCAUCUAGAACAGUAGCAGUCCCUGCGGGGGCGCUUCCCAGCUGUGGAACGCAGCACAGGAGCGCCAGGGGGCCACAGGAGGAGCAGCCUAGCCGACCACCUCCUCAGCUGCCGUGGAAACCGCAGAGCGGGGAUCGUGACCUGGAAGUGCUCAAUAAUAAUGAUUUUAAGACACAUUUUAAAUGGAAUCAAACUCAGGACCUUGCACUUGCCAGGCAGGUGUGGCACCACUGAACUACAUCCCUGGCCUCCUGGUGGUGCAGCAGAACAGUCA
Molecule: long non-coding RNA, 459 nt
Filed under: Heterocephalus glaber (naked mole-rat)
Lineage: Eukaryota; Metazoa; Chordata; Mammalia; Rodentia; Bathyergidae
Description: lncRNA (ENSHGLG00100041687.1)
Source: RNAcentral